GGUUUUAAUUUAAUUCUUAGGUUACAAUAUAAAAUAAGUUGCCUGAGUUUGCCAAGGAUAACACGAUCACAGAUUUUCUCUUUCUUGGAGUGCGAGCUGUUGAAACUUUCAGUCUGAUCUGGUCUCUUCUGGGCUAUAGCGCCCUGUGGCCAUUGACAUCGAUGAUCGUCAGUGCCCCAUGGACCGCUCUCAAUCGCACAACACUCCCCCAGUCAAUGAUGAAGAAGAUGAAUGGGACACUGAUGGAUU
This 249-nucleotide unclassified non-coding RNA is filed under the name Hevea brasiliensis (rubber tree). The record is from RNAcentral. Lineage: Eukaryota; Viridiplantae; Streptophyta; Magnoliopsida; Malpighiales; Euphorbiaceae.